CUGAGAACCUGAAAAAACCUGAAAUAUACAACUCUUUCAUCACUCUAUCUGCCUUAUAGCUAAAAAAAUUCAAUUUAAAAUUCAUUCAAAUAGUUUUUGAGAAAAAUACUCCAGAAAAAAAACUGCCUCAAAUAGAAUACAAAUGUAUCGAUAAGCACAUAUUUUCAGAUGAUUGUUCGUAUUUGUCAUAGUCAUCUCAAACAUCGCUGUAUUUGUAAAGAGAACAUUUUUUCCAUUCAUUCAUUCUACCGUUCUCUUCUUCAUCUGUCGAUAAUAUCAAGUUAUAGUUCGCACACAAUCUCUCUCUUUCGUAACUGAGCUACCUGUCUGUGUUUUUCGUAUAAAGUUAUUGCUUGCUCAAAAAAAAAA
This is a long non-coding RNA of Dermatophagoides pteronyssinus (European house dust mite), 369 nucleotides long. Lineage: Eukaryota; Metazoa; Arthropoda; Arachnida; Sarcoptiformes; Pyroglyphidae. The record is from RefSeq and is a predicted model, not a curated record.